This 73-nucleotide transfer RNA is filed under the name Actinoplanes sp. L3-i22. RNAcentral describes it as "tRNA-Trp". It matches the Rfam family "tRNA". From Rfam's summary of the family: Transfer RNA (tRNA) molecules are approximately 80 nucleotides in length. Their secondary structure includes four short double-helical elements and three loops (D, anti-codon, and T loops). Lineage: Bacteria; Bacillati; Actinomycetota; Actinomycetes; Micromonosporales; Micromonosporaceae. The record is from RNAcentral.
ACGGGUGUAGCUCAACGGUAGAGCAACAGCCUCCAAAACUGUUGGUUGCGGGUUCGAAUCCUGCUGCCCGUGC